GUGGGGAAUCUUGCGCAAUGGGCGAAAGCCUGACGCAGCCAUGCCGCGUGAAUGAUGAAGGUCUUAGGAUUGUAAAAUUCUUUCACAGGGGACGAUAAUGACGGUACCCGGAGAAGAAGCUCCGGCUAACUUCGUGCCAGCAGCCGCGGUAAUACGAAGGGGGCUAGCGUUGCUCGGAAUUACUGGGCGUAAAGGGCGCGUAGGCGGACAGCUUAGUCAGAGGUGAAAGCCCAGGGCUCAACCUUGGAAUUGCCUUUGAUACUGGCUGUCUUGAGUUUGGGAGAGGUGAGUGGAACUCCGAGUGUAGAGGUGAAAUUCGUAGAUAUUCGGAAGAACACCAGUGGCGAAGGCGACUCACUGGCCCAAUACUGACGCUGAGGCGCGAAAGCGUGGGGAGCAAACAGGAUUAGAUACCCGAGUAGUCC
RNAcentral lists this ribosomal RNA (425 nucleotides) under uncultured bacterium. RNAcentral describes it as "partial 16S ribosomal RNA". It matches the Rfam family "Bacterial small subunit ribosomal RNA", at positions 354 to 796 of the family's 1533-position model. The record is from RNAcentral.